RNAcentral lists this ribosomal RNA (483 nucleotides) under uncultured bacterium. Its description in RNAcentral is "partial 16S ribosomal RNA". It matches the Rfam family "Bacterial small subunit ribosomal RNA", at positions 30 to 506 of the family's 1533-position model. The record is from RNAcentral.
AUUGAACGCUGGCGGCAGGCCUAACACAUGCAAGUCGAGCGGAUGAAGGGAGCUUGCUCCUGGAUUCAGCGGCGGACGGGUGAGUAAUGCCUAGGAAUCUGCCUGGUAGUGGGGGAUAACGUCCGGAAACGGGCGCUAAUACCGCAUACGUCCUGAGGGAGAAAGUGGGGGAUCUUCGGACCUCACGCUAUCAGAUGAGCCUAGGUCGGAUUAGCUAGUUGGUGGGGUAAAGGCCUACCAAGGCGACGAUCCGUAACUGGUCUGAGAGGAUGAUCAGUCACACUGGAACUGAGACACGGCCCAGACCCCGACGGGAGGCAGCGGUGGGGAAUUUUGGACAAGGGGCGAAAGCCUGAUCCAGCCAUGCCGGGUGGGUGAAGAAGGUCUUCGGAUUGUAAAGCCCUUUAAGUUGGGAGGAAGGGCAGUAAGUUAAAACCUUGCUUUUUUGACUUUACCAACAGAAUAAGCACCGGCUAACUUCGU